This 89-nucleotide transfer RNA is filed under the name Clostridium sp. CAG:448. It matches the Rfam family "tRNA". Rfam says of the family: Transfer RNA (tRNA) molecules are approximately 80 nucleotides in length. Their secondary structure includes four short double-helical elements and three loops (D, anti-codon, and T loops). Further hydrogen bonds mediate the characteristic L-shaped molecular structure. tRNAs have two regions of fundamental functional importance: the anti-codon, which is responsible for specific mRNA codon recognition, and the 3' end, to which the tRNAs corresponding amino acid is attached (by aminoacyl-tRNA synthetases). tRNAs cope with the degeneracy of the genetic code in two manners: having more than one tRNA (with a specific anti-codon) for a particular amino acid; and 'wobble' base-pairing, i.e. permitting non-standard base-pairing at the 3rd anti-codon position. Lineage: Bacteria; Bacillati; Bacillota; Clostridia; Eubacteriales; Clostridiaceae. The record is from Rfam by way of RNAcentral. RNAcentral also lists the same sequence under 1 other name.
GGAGAGAUGGCCGAGUUGGUCUAAGGCGCACGACUGGAAAUCGUGUAAGGGUCAUAAGCCCUUCUGGGGUUCGAAUCCCCAUCUCUCCG